This 437-nucleotide ribosomal RNA is filed under the name uncultured bacterium. RNAcentral's name for it is "bacterial SSU rRNA". It matches the Rfam family "Bacterial small subunit ribosomal RNA", at positions 957 to 1393 of the family's 1533-position model. The record is from RNAcentral.
UAACGCGAAGAACCUUACCAGCCUUUGACAUGGCAGGACGGCUUCCAGAGAUGGAUUCCUUCCCUUCGGGGACCUGCACACAGGUGCUGCAUGGCUGUCGUCAGCUCGUGUCGUGAGAUGUUGGGUUAAGUCCCGCAACGAGCGCAACCCUCGCCCUUAGUUGCCAUCAUUCAGUUGGGCACUCUAAGGGGACUGCCGGUGAUAAGCCGCGAGGAAGGUGGGGAUGACGUCAAGUCCUCAUGGCCCUUACAGGUUGGGCUACACACGUGCUACAAUGGCGGUGACAAUGGGCAGCGAAAGGGCGACCUGGAGCUAAUCCCAAAAAGCCGUCUCAGUUCAGAUUGCACUCUGCGACUCGAGUGCAUGAAGGCGGAAUCGCUAGUAAUCGUGGAUCAGCACGCCACGGUGAAUACGUUCCCGGGUCUUGUACACACCGA